RNAcentral lists this ribosomal RNA (426 nucleotides) under uncultured bacterium. Its description in RNAcentral is "bacterial SSU rRNA". It matches the Rfam family "Bacterial small subunit ribosomal RNA", at positions 354 to 796 of the family's 1533-position model. The record is from RNAcentral.
GUGAGGAAUAUUCGUCAAUGGGGGAAACCCUGAACGAGCAACGCCGCGUGGAGGAUGAAGGCUUUCGGGUCGUAAACUCCUUUUCAGGGAGACGAGAAAGGACGGUAUCCCUGGAAUAAGUCACGGCUAACUACGUGCCAGCAGCCGCGGUAAUACGUAGGUGACGAGCGUUAUCCGGAUUUACUGGGCGUAAAGCGCUUGUAGGUGGUUUUGUAAGUUGGACGUUAAAUCUCCAGGCUCAACUUGGAGAGGCCGUUCAAUACUGCGAGACUAGAGGAUGUCAGAGGAAGGUGGAAUUCCAGGUGUAGUAGUGAAAUGCGUAGAUAUCUGGAGGAACACCCAUGGCGAAGGCAGCCUUCUGGGACAUUCCUGACACUGAGAAGCGAAAGCUAGGGGAGCAAACAGGAUUAGAAACCCUUGUAGUCC